CAGCAGCCGCGGUAAUACGGAGGGUGCAAGCGUUAUCCGGAUUCACUGGGUUUAAAGGGUGCGUAGGCGGGCAGGUAAGUCAGUGGUGAAAUCUUCGAGCUUAACUCGGAAACUGCCGUUGAUACUAUCUGUCUUGAAUAACGUUGAGGUGAGCGGAAUAUGUCAUGUAGCGGUGAAAUGCUUAGAUAUGACAUAGAACACCGAUUGCGAAGGCAGCUCACUAAACGAUCAUUGACGCUGAGGCACGAAAGCGUGGGGAUCAAACAGGAUUAGAUACCCCUGUAGUCCCUGUCUCUAUACC
This 301-nucleotide ribosomal RNA is filed under the name uncultured bacterium. RNAcentral's name for it is "partial 16S ribosomal RNA". It matches the Rfam family "Bacterial small subunit ribosomal RNA", at positions 509 to 808 of the family's 1533-position model. The record is from RNAcentral.